CCUACGGGGGGCAGCAGUAGGGAAUUUUCGUCAAUGGGCGCAAGCCUGAACGAGCAAUGCCGCGUGAGUGAGGAAGGUCUUCGGAUCGUAAAGCUCUGUUGCGGGGGAAAAAGGACAGGAAGAGGAAAUGCUUUCUGUUUGAUGGUACCCCGCCAGAAAGUCACGGCUAACUACGUGCCAGCAGCCGCGGUAAUACGUAGGUGGCGAGCGUUAUCCGGAAUGAUUGGGCGUAAAGGGUGCGCAGGCGGCAUGUCAAGUCUGAAGUGAAAGGUACGGGCUUAACCUGUACAGGCUUUGGAAACUGG
RNAcentral lists this ribosomal RNA (305 nucleotides) under uncultured bacterium. RNAcentral's name for it is "bacterial SSU rRNA". It matches the Rfam family "Bacterial small subunit ribosomal RNA", at positions 338 to 636 of the family's 1533-position model. The record is from RNAcentral.